Molecule: long non-coding RNA, 1084 nt
Filed under: Triticum aestivum (bread wheat)
Lineage: Eukaryota; Viridiplantae; Streptophyta; Magnoliopsida; Poales; Poaceae
Description: long non-coding RNA (TAES_LNC003676)
Source: RNAcentral
CGGAUGGUCGUCUAAUCUGCCACAAUCUCACCAUGCCAGCUUGAAAUCAUUCGGAUCAGGUAAUAACACUCACAAACCUUGUCAUAUGAAAUUGCCCCCCUUUUUCCAAGAAUUUAAAAGUUCCCAAACUUUAAGGUCUUCGAAAUCAAUUUAAGAAAAUAACAAUAUGCAUACAGUUCUUUUCCUGACAUGAAUAUAGUUUUGUGCUACCUCUUACUACUUUUUUUAUAAAGACCUCUUACUAUUUUUUGCUUUUGCUAAAGGUUCCAUCUAUCCAGUGAACCCCCAAUUGAUGUAUCCAGUGUCAACGGUGAACUCUGCAGCCCAUGGCGAACAAUGCUUAUCACUAUCGUUGUUGCCAAUGUGGCCGGAAUCCUCAUAGCCCCCGGCUUAUUCUUCAACAGGCAUGGUUCAAUUUAGUUUCAAUAAUACCUUUAUAACUGUUACAGACCCACAAGGUAUGCAGCGGGCAAAAAUUAUGGUAAAGGGCUGGUGGUGGAAGAGAUGUUUUUGUUCUUGUUUCUGGAAGUUCUGGGGUGUUGAGGACUGUAGGAAGUUUACAUGAACUUUUUUUAGCAGUUUUGGUGUGAAGUGCGCUGAAACGAAUUUCAGUGCAUUCCUACUGUUUGGUAGUACUUCUUUUAUUUCGGUUAGUGUGUCAGUUUUUAGUAUAUUUUCAGUUCGCUGUGUUUAUAUUUCAGUUCCUCGGAAUGGGCACCAUAAGUGUUUGUUUUAGUCUUUCAGCUAUUAGUCUCAGUUUUUUAGUAGAUUCGGUUUUAGCUGUUUUGGUAGAUCAUUUUCUUAGCUUUAUUGUUGAUUCAUUUUUAGUUCUUUUAGUAUAUCAUUUUCUCAGCUCUAAUGUAUUUGUUUGAAUCAUCAUUUAGUUUUCAGUUUUUAGUCACCAGUAUUCCUAAGGAUCAGUACCUUAAGUGUUUCAUUUGACGAAAAAGGGUUUCCCCCGCUUUGUAUUACAAAGCAACCACCGAUACAUCCAACGAUAGGUGCUGGGGCCGCAGCACAGAUAAGCCCAAAGAAAAACAAAGAAGAAAGGAAGAGAAACAAAUGCCAACAACGGCAGAUCGAC